CUCAUCUGCUCAAAUCUUGGGUAACCUCUAAACACAGGACAGUAUCAAAGCUAGAUUAAAUCCUUUAGAAUCACACAGAAAGGUUCCUGUCAGAGAUUGUGGCAAAAUGAGGUCACAGAGGCUCCAGACUGGAACAAAGUGAACAUUUGCAUAUUAAUCACAUCCAGGUUUUGCAGUCCCAGUAGCACACUUGGACCAAAAGCAGUGACCAAAUGGAGCAAUCAGCUUGUAGCACUAGAUCUGGUGAACAGUGAUGCAGAAGAAAGCAGAGGACAUCAGAAAAUGUCAACAUGACAUCAUGAUCAGCAGCUUUCUUUUAUUGGUUCAAAUGUAAACCUUUUGGAGAAUUAAAU
Long non-coding RNA from Girardinichthys multiradiatus, 353 nucleotides. RefSeq lists it as uncharacterized. Lineage: Eukaryota; Metazoa; Chordata; Actinopteri; Cyprinodontiformes; Goodeidae. The transcript has 3 exons. The record is from RefSeq and is a predicted model, not a curated record.